AGAGUUUGAUCAUGGCUCAGGACGAACGCUGGCGGCGCGCUUAACACAUGCAAGUCGAGCGAGAACCAGUCCUUCGGGGCUGGGGACAGCGGCGAACGGGUGAGUAACACGUGAGUAAUCCACCCCCGACACUGGGAUAGCCCGGGGAAACCCGGAUUAAUACCGGAUAGCCACUUCGGUUCUCGGACCGAAAUGAAAAGGUAGCUUCGGCCUCCGGUUGGGGACGAGCUCGCGGCGGAUUAGCUUGUUGGCGGGGUAAAGGCCCACCAAGGCGACGAUCCGUAGCUGGUCUGAGAGGACGAUCAGCCACACUGGGACUGAGACACGGCCCAGACUCCUACGGGAGGCAGCAGUGGGGAAUCUUGUGCAAUGGGCGAAAGCCUGACACAGCGACGCCGCGUGAGGGAAGAAGGCCUUCGGGUUGUAAACCUCUUUCAGGAGGGACGAAGCUACUCGGGUGAACAGCCCAGAGGGUGACGGUACCUCCAGAAGAAGCCCCGGCUAACUACGUGCCAGCAGCCGCGGUAAUAC
Molecule: ribosomal RNA, 531 nt
Filed under: uncultured bacterium
Lineage: Bacteria
Description: bacterial SSU rRNA
Rfam family: Bacterial small subunit ribosomal RNA
Source: RNAcentral